CGGGCUAUAGCGCAGUUGGUAGCGCGCAUCGUUCGGGACGAUGAGGUCGGCAGUUCGAGUCUGCCUAGCCCGACUA
This 76-nucleotide transfer RNA is filed under the name Candidatus Magasanikbacteria bacterium RIFOXYC2_FULL_39_8. RNAcentral's name for it is "tRNA-Pro". It matches the Rfam family "tRNA". Rfam says of the family: Transfer RNA (tRNA) molecules are approximately 80 nucleotides in length. Their secondary structure includes four short double-helical elements and three loops (D, anti-codon, and T loops). RNAcentral also lists the same sequence under 1 other name. The record is from RNAcentral. Lineage: Bacteria; Candidatus Magasanikiibacteriota.